GAGAGCGUAGCUCAGUUGGUAGAGCAUCGCCCUUUUAAGGCGUUGGUCGUGGGUUCGAGCCCCACCGCUCUCACCA
RNAcentral lists this transfer RNA (76 nucleotides) under Acidobacteriaceae bacterium. Its description in RNAcentral is "tRNA-Lys". It matches the Rfam family "tRNA". Rfam says of the family: Transfer RNA (tRNA) molecules are approximately 80 nucleotides in length. Their secondary structure includes four short double-helical elements and three loops (D, anti-codon, and T loops). Further hydrogen bonds mediate the characteristic L-shaped molecular structure. tRNAs have two regions of fundamental functional importance: the anti-codon, which is responsible for specific mRNA codon recognition, and the 3' end, to which the tRNAs corresponding amino acid is attached (by aminoacyl-tRNA synthetases). tRNAs cope with the degeneracy of the genetic code in two manners: having more than one tRNA (with a specific anti-codon) for a particular amino acid; and 'wobble' base-pairing, i.e. permitting non-standard base-pairing at the 3rd anti-codon position. The record is from RNAcentral. Lineage: Bacteria; Pseudomonadati; Acidobacteriota; Terriglobia; Terriglobales; Acidobacteriaceae.